Molecule: long non-coding RNA, 1032 nt
Organism: Rosa rugosa (rugosa rose)
Lineage: Eukaryota; Viridiplantae; Streptophyta; Magnoliopsida; Rosales; Rosaceae
Exons: 4
Source: RefSeq, a predicted model, not a curated record
UCUUGCUAUUCCCCGAACCCUAGCCCUCUCCUCCUUCCUCUCCCACUCUCUUUCCACAGCCACCACCGCUUCCCUCUCCUCCGCUCACUCCUGCUACUAUCUCUCUCUCUCAUUAACCGCCUCCGCCUCUUGCCGGCGCCAUGACCUCCACGAGCAAGCUCUCUCUCUCUGGGAUCUCGGAAGACUGAAAGAAGGCAAAGAACCCUUUUCUCAAUCUCACUCUCGAAUGGAGGAAAUCAAUUGCUUCUGUGAACCAAGACAACAUCCCAGGGGCGACCGGCUACCACUCCUUGUCCUAAGACGACUAGGGUUUGGGAAAUCCUAAUCAAGCAAAACUUCUGAAACGUUUCUGGCAGGAAAGAUUUUCCUAGAGAGAUCGAUCAUCUCUGAAGCGGAAUUUUGCUGCCUUUAAUUUGUUUGGAAACGAUGGGCAGAGGAAAGUACAAGAACAAGCCCACUGGUCAGCGCCAGUUCUCCAGUCGCGAAGAUCUUCUUGAGGACAACUUAUAUAUCACCAAAAACUAGGUUUUUGAGAGGGGUGAACUUGUUAUGGAUCCCAAAAAGAUUGCUAGAAGUUAUCUGAGAUCAGAUUUCUUCGUAGAUCUUAUAGCUACACUGCCUCUCCCUCAGAUUGUCAUAUGGUUCAUCAUACCUGCAGUUAAAAGCUCCAGUUCUGGCCAUACCCAUAAUGCCCUUGUACUGAUUGUUCUGCUCCAAUAUGUUCCUAGAUUGUAUCUCAUUUUCCCACUAAGUUCUCAGAUCAUCAAAGCCACUGGUGUGGUCACAAAGACAGCUUGGGCCGGGGCUGCGUAUAAUCUCAUACUCUACAGUCUACAUGUUAGCUAGUCAUGUCUUAGGUGCUUCAUGGUACCUAUUAUCAAUCGAACGGUAUGCAACUUGCUGGAAGUCUCAAUGCAGAAAAGAAGUUGACCCCAUCAAGUGUUUUCUCAGCUACUUGGAUUGUGGUUCUUUGAACAAUGAUGGACGCCUGCAGUGGAUAAACAGUACUCAUGUGUUUAGUAACUGCAACCC